RNAcentral lists this ribosomal RNA (465 nucleotides) under Vreelandella stevensii. RNAcentral describes it as "partial 16S ribosomal RNA". It matches the Rfam family "Bacterial small subunit ribosomal RNA", at positions 338 to 795 of the family's 1533-position model. Lineage: Bacteria; Pseudomonadati; Pseudomonadota; Gammaproteobacteria; Oceanospirillales; Halomonadaceae. The record is from RNAcentral.
CCUACGGGCGGCAGCAGUGGGGAAUAUUGGACAAUGGGGGGAACCCUGAUCCAGCCAUGCCGCGUGUGUGAAGAAGGCCCUCGGGUUGUAAAGAACUUUCAGUGAGGAAGAACGCCUGGUGGUUAAUACCCAUCAGGAAAGACAUCACUCACAGAAGAAGCACCGGCUAACUCCGUGCCAGCAGCCGCGGUAAUACGGAGGGUGCGAGCGUUAAUCGGAAUUACUGGGCGUAAAGCGCGCGUAGGUGGCUUGAUAAGCCGGUUGUGAAAGCCCCGGGCUCAACCUGGGAACGGCAUCCGGAACUGUCAAGCUAGAGUGCAGGAGAGGAAGGUAGAAUUCCCGGUGUAGCGGUGAAAUGCGUAGAGAUCGGGAGGAAUACCAGUGGCGAAGGCGGCCUUCUGGACUGACACUGACACUGAGGUGCGAAAGCGUGGGUAGCAAACAGGAUUAGAUACCCCAGUAGUC